Astatotilapia calliptera (eastern happy) is the source of this 2765-nucleotide long non-coding RNA. Lineage: Eukaryota; Metazoa; Chordata; Actinopteri; Cichliformes; Cichlidae. The record is from Ensembl.
CUGCAGAGACGCCGGCCCUCGUGGACUGAGAUUGCCCACCCCUGAGUUAUACCCUGGAGAUAAAUUGUUAAAAACUUCAGUUAGCGAACUCAGAUCAAUACUCACACUGGAUGAAUCAAAAAUUACAGAAUAAAAUACAGGCCUACAAGCCUCACACUUCCGGCCUCAGCGGUCUUUGAGUGCGGCCCUUGAGGACCGUUAAGGCUGCGUACUUUAAGGCUGCAGACCCUGAAUUGGGAUAGAGCCAUACAUACAUGUUUUGGUUCGUGCAACAGGACCGUCCGGUUAUUGUCUCCCCAGAAACAUUUCCGUUGUCUUUUUUCCUAUUUCCGUUGUGUUGUGUGUGCUUUUGCAGCGUUUUUCUUUUUGCAGCGUUUUUUUCUUUUUGCAGCGUUUUUUUCUAUUUGCAAGUGUUUUCUGAAGUUGCAGUCCGUUUGGUCUCUCAGGGCCACCGUACCCAUCCCAGUUUUAACAAAACUCUAGUUCUAUACAUUCACACCCAUCCAGACCACUCACAGUUCACAACACACCAACACAACAUAGCAUUGUCAAAACAGAGUGGGAGGGGAGGGCACAUCUCUCUACACCCCUUGUUCCCCAGCCCGUUCACACAUCUUGUCAGGCGGUUUGUGGAGUGCUUUUGUCACGGUUGGACGGUCCUCCCCGGACAACCUGCUUGUUUAUUUGUGAUGUGUGUGUGCCUUCCUCUCUUUCUGUCUUCCUCCCUAUUCUGCGGGUCGGGCUAUGCCUAGGGGCGGCGUCUCCGAGAGAGCGAGAAAGGCCGACCUCUGACCCGGAAGAGUAAUCUUCAGCUCCAGCUGCCGCUAAUCAUUCCUCACUAAACGGAGGUAUUUAACGGUGUGUCGAGACGGCAGUCGACGCUGGAUUGUACUCGGAGCUCGGUGGAGAAGUACGGGACGCAGGAGUGGAGAAAAAGGAUUCACUGGUGUUUUCGGGAGAAGGAAUUCACACGGAAGUAGUGCACACCGACCUCAUGGGGAAACUCACCUUCACCACUUUUGGGAAUUUAGAGAAAGGACAUUGUUGGAUAUCUCACUGUUUGAAGACUGUAUUUCAAGCACUGUAAAUAAACGCACUGUCGGCUUCAACCCAGAGCUCCGUGCCUGAAUCCAUACCGCUCAUUAGCCCUGACAGCUUUGGCUUCAUCCCAGUUUGCUGCUCGUUCAUAGUGGCAUCUGCUGACCAACACCGCAGAGGAGCAGGGGGAUCCACACAGCCCAAUACCUACAAUCGUACUCAGCAGCAGUGACGGCAAGCCCUUGAAUGAUUCAACUGAGGUCAAUGUCCAGAUGGAUGGACAAAAAAUGAUUCUGGACAAUGGACAUUUCAUUGGCGAUGGGUAUUGUCUUCUCCCUGUACCAUGUCUACAAUGUUGCCUAUCCAAGUGAACUAAAAAAGACAUUUUGCUUUUUGGAGGCAUUUGUUCUCAACUUGGGAACUCUGACUACACCUGUACCAGUAGCUGUGCAAAGAGUGGCAAAUGCAUUAAAUAUCUCCUAGACUGCCAGCAUAGUGCAGGUGAGAGACCGAUAUUGUCCCAAUAUGGACUAACAAAGGACCAUGAGUCCCACAUUAAACUUAACUUACAUAACUUAAGGCUGCAGUUCAUUGAUAAUUUAAAUAAAAAGAUUGUUCUUGAAAUAGUUUUACUGAAAAUGCAAACAUGCUGAUGAAAAUGUGUUGUUUAAUUGUCUGUUAUGAAAGUAUUGCUAUUUCUAAUGUAAUAAGUGUUGUUUUAUCUAUAGUAUAAUAUUUAUAUGUAUUUAUUUAUAGUAUAGUAAAGAUAUUUAGUUAUUACUGUUUAAAUGACUUAUAUGCUAUUAUUAGUAGUGGUGUUGUGCUUAGCGUUAAAAUGCCUUUUUGUCUUUUUCUGUAAUACAAAGUGCCAAUAAACCAUUAAUAUAUGUCUAUGUGCUUGUAUUUAUUUUACCCUACUCUAGUUAAUUCAAUUUAAGAUGCAUUUUAUUUUGAAAGAUUUAAAAUGGUUCUUUAAAGAACCACUCAGAAAAGGGUUCUUUAAGAUGGGUCUUUAAAGAACCACUUGAAAGACCUUUUUAAAAAUAGUUCUUCAAAGAACCAUUUUUUUAAAAAGGGGGCAAAAAAGCCACAGGUAUAUUACUACUUUCUAUGUAGCUAUUCUUGUAAAAGCAAAAUAUGUUAGGCACCACAGUGCAUUCAGAUCACAAUUCUGCUUGCAAAGCUGCCAGACAGUACAAAAAACAAACAAAAGAAAAAAACAAACAAGCAAACAGAAAUGCUUCACUGAUAUAUAUAACAAUCAUUUAUUUUCGUUGAAAACCAGACAGAGACCUGAGGCAGAGCUAACCAAAUCCAACUCCACCUGAGAAUAUUAAAAGGAAAGAAAGAAAGAUAAACACAAACAAAACCCCAAACCCACUCUCAGAGGGUUGAAUGGCAGUUUGAGGUGCGGACCCAAAAGCAGACUCAAUAGAUGAAAGACUUUAUUAAGCUCACAAAUCUUAAUCAAACAAGAUGGGGCGCGAGCAUCACUGCAGUCCGACUUUUUCUUUCUUUUUCAGUGAUCUGGAGGGAAAUGGCGAGCAAGAGGGCAGCCCGAUGACAUGUCUGAGCUAAUGUUAUUUUCAGAAUACAGAAGAGAGGCAUCGGGCAGAGAAUGCAGGAGGGUAAGUGUUUAGCUACUGCAUUAUUAGGGGAGCAGACCCGCGUCAGUAAAACCAAAAGAACAACAGGUUAGUUUGAAUGCUGAUCCCAAACAAUGUAAA